Molecule: long non-coding RNA, 1400 nt
Filed under: Triticum aestivum (bread wheat)
Lineage: Eukaryota; Viridiplantae; Streptophyta; Magnoliopsida; Poales; Poaceae
Description: long non-coding RNA (TAES_LNC009632)
Source: RNAcentral
UCUUAUUUUGUUUCCUCAAUUUCGCAUGGUCGCACCUCCAGUUCGUCUAUGAUGUAUGAGCUACAGAGAUGAAUGCCCUAGAUUUGUGUCCUGCUAAUUGGUACAAAUGUUUUGCCAAAGUGAUUAAACAGUUAGAAUACAGCUGCAUUGUAAUGAAAAACACACUAAUUUGAUAUGCAGUUUAUGUUUUUUGCAUUACACAACCUUAAGAUUUUAAUUCAGACGUAAAAGUCAGUUUCAAUUACAGGAAGUAUCACACAAGGACGUGCAUCAUUGUCCACGACACCAUACAUCUGAAAAUAAGCAAUAGGUCAGUAAAAGAAUACAGGGCUGCAGUCUAGUCAAUUAUAGACAAAACAAGGAGCAAAUCUAAUUUUAACACUGUUGGUACAGGGAGAGAGAGAAAGAGAUGUUUCCUAUGGAUCAAGAGCUGCUUAGAGCUCGCUCUCGGAAAGGGCAAUUUCCUUCCCAUGGUACUCACAAAGCCUACUGCCUUUUUUAAGAAAAAGAAGCAAGCACGAUGCAUAGAUCAGAUUAUCAAGGGAACAAUGAUCCCUUUGUCAAUAUAUGCUUCCAAUGGAUAGAUGGAUACGAUACUACUAAUCAAAAAGAGAAUGAGAGAGCACAUUAGUUUGAUAUGACAAAACCAGUCCUGGAUAUGGUCAUGGAACUAUGUUUUGACUAUAGCAGGGAAAGUAGUAGCCACUCCUCUUUGUACGGGACAUAGAGUUUCAGUAUUUUUUACAAAAAAAUAUCAUGGACACUAAAGCAAGUAUUGAAGAUGCUUUUCUGAAAUUCAUCUACAUAAAUUUCAGACCUGUAGAUGGGAGUUAAUUUUAGUGAUCUGAAUUAAACUGUCCUUUGUAAAUUUCACUCUGUAAUUCCAGUUUGAUGGCAUUCUUCAGUGAAGCUUUGGCAGCAGGUAACCCAGGUUCAAGAAACAAAGGUUCAAAAUCAACGUUUAUGAACACACACUAUCUUGUCUUGUGAUGAACCAAAAUCAAUGUUUAUUGUAAUGUAAAAGGGUAGAACUGUUGAAUUGAUGCAUGCGUGGUUCAACUGUGGUCGUCUUUGCUUUUGGCAGGUUGAGGCCUGGGAGCUACUCUAGAUGCUGUCGAGUUGCGAGCAUAUUUUGGGUAAGCAGCAGUGGAAUAGCAGAUUCAGCAGAAUAGUUCAAGGACCACACAUUUGAGUUCAUGAAACAUAUACCAUUUCAGUGGGCGGAAGAAUGACAAUUUAAGGUGUUUUUCCAGCACUACAUGACAUUCGUGGUUAUUACCUUUGAGUAGCACGCACCUGCUCCUGCAGUUCUUAACAUGGCUCUGAAUUUUUUAGAUUGAGUCUUGCUGGUGUAUCCAAGAACAAAAUCAGUGGUAUGUGACUCUACCGUGUACUUAAAU